This 429-nucleotide ribosomal RNA is filed under the name Chloroflexota bacterium. RNAcentral describes it as "Chloroflexi bacterium partial 16S ribosomal RNA". It matches the Rfam family "Bacterial small subunit ribosomal RNA", at positions 355 to 776 of the family's 1533-position model. Lineage: Bacteria; Bacillati; Chloroflexota. The record is from RNAcentral.
UGGGGAAUAUUGCACAAUGGGCGCAAGCCUGAUGCAGCCAUGCCGCGUGUGUGAAGAAGGCCUUCGGGUUGUAAAGCACUUUCAGCGGGGAGGAAGGCGGUGAGGUUAAUAACCUCAUCGAUUGACGUUACCCGCAGAAGAAGCACCGGCUAACUCCGUGCCAGCAGCCGCGGUAAUACGGAGGGUGCAAGCGUUAAUCGGAAUUACUGAGCGUAAAGCGCACGCAGGCGGUCUGUCAAGUCGGAUGUGAAAUCCCCGGGCUCAACCUGGGAACUGCAUUCGAAACUGGCAGGCUAGAGUCUUGUAGAGGGGGGUAGAAUUCCAGGUGUAGCGGUGAAAUGCGUAGAGAUCUGGAGGAAUACCGGUGGCGAAGGCGGCCCCCUGGACAAAGACUGACGCUCAGGUGCGAAAGCGUGGGGAGCAAACAGG